GAUGAACGCUGGCGGCGUGCCUAAUACAUGCAAGUCGAGCGAACAGACGAGGAGCUUGCUCCUUCGACGUUAGCGGCGGACGGGUGAGUAACACGUAGGUAACCUACCUAUAAGACUGGGAUAACUUCGGGAAACCGGAGCUAAUACCGGAUAAGAUUUCGAACCGCAUGGUUCGAUAGUGAAAGAUGGCUUUGCUAUCACUUAUAGAUGGACCUGCGCCGUAUUAGCUAGUUGGUAAGGUAACGGCUUACCAAGGCAACGAUACGUAGCCGACCUGAGAGGGUGAUCGGCCACACUGGACCUGAGCCACGGUCCAGACUCCUACGGGAGGCAGCAGUAGGGAAUCUUCCGCAAUGGGCGAAGGCCUGACGGAGCAACGCCGCGUGAGUGAUGAAGGUCUUCGGAUCGUAAAACUCUGUUAUUAGGGAAGAACAAACGUGUAAGUAACUGUGCACGUCUUGACGGUACCUAAUCAGAAAGCCACGGCUAACUACGUG
RNAcentral lists this ribosomal RNA (497 nucleotides) under uncultured bacterium. RNAcentral's name for it is "partial 16S ribosomal RNA". It matches the Rfam family "Bacterial small subunit ribosomal RNA", at positions 28 to 507 of the family's 1533-position model. The record is from RNAcentral.